Molecule: long non-coding RNA, 3113 nt
Filed under: Daphnia pulicaria
Lineage: Eukaryota; Metazoa; Arthropoda; Branchiopoda; Diplostraca; Daphniidae
Description: uncharacterized LOC124319385
Source: RNAcentral
CUGAUUCCUCUCAGAUGUUUGAUCAGCUCGUUCAGUAGUUCGUAGUCUGUUCGUAAUAAGGUUUUUCAAUUUCGGCGAUUUCUAUCAAGUUCGAGAUCUGCUUUGAUACGAACGCUGCCAGCCCCCAAGAGAUUACACGUGUUUCACAGUAUGUUGUCGCCAUCGAAUGUAAAUCGACAUGAGGUUUUAAAGGGUCCUUUGAUGUCUUUUGAGGACUCGGUUCUUGAAUUUAGCACUACACUGCGAAACAAGCUGGAAGUCAAGGGAUUCAGGAUUCUAGAAACACACCUAUAUCAUCAAAUCAAGGAAAUGAAAUCCAUCUUUCAAAUGUCUACUCGGGUAAUACUCCCCAUGUUGACUACUCGACAGCAAAGUGAAUUCAGAAUGGAUGUUAUCAGCACACUAGACGACAUCAACCUAGCUUUGUUAGAAACUUGCUAUUUCGACACUGAUAAUUUGAUUAACAGAAUGAGGAAAAUUUCCAACAUCCUACAGCAUUUUAUAUAAAUAUCAAUCAUGAAUGAAUAAAACUAGGUUCAUGCAGUGUGCAUUCUACAAUGUUUUAAUUACAUGUCCUACAAUUCCAAAAAACAGUUGGUCCACCAAUAAUAUAGAACUGGGCAAUACUGGCCAAACUUGUUGACUAGGUUUAGUUUAAUUCUUGAAAAUUUAGGUUUUUAACUAUCAUUAUCAAAACAACAACUGGAACCUGUCAUUUAAAAAGCUUUCCAAUUGCUGCUUAAAGUAACUAAUGGUCUCCAAAUAUUCAAGGAGUAAUAGAAAAGGCACCGGUGACGGACCUGCAAAGAAAAAUGCUAAAUGGCUAGGGUCAUCAACAACAGGAGAUCCAGGGUUACACGGGGUCCUUUGUGAAUGCCGUCUCUUCGGUUGACUUUACCCGUUCUUUGAUGACGACCUUCAGUCUUUACUUUGGUUUUUCAAUUGCUGACAAUUAAUUAAUCUUGUUCACUCGUUAGUUGUGUAUUCUUAAUUACCAUUCAUUCGUUUGAAUGUUUAUUUUUUUCUUCAAAUUAUUAAUGUAAAUUCUUUUCUUUUUUCAUUCAGAUGACUCACAACUUUAUUGGGUUAUCAUUGACGUCCAAAUCCUCCGAUGAUCCGUUUCUUUAGUAUAACAUUACAUGACAUCUUAAGAUCAGGAACACCAUUAACCGCUGCCCUACAACAAAUCAAAACUAAACCCAGCGGAUAGCAGCGGUUACAUCAUCCAGAUUGGCAGAUUUGUGAGCUAGCUAACAACGUGAAUGAUUCGCCUCGAGAUUCGCUGACGUAGUUUUCGACUGAGUGGAAUCGCAUUAUAGAACAAAACGUCGUGCUUGGAAAAAAAUCCUUUUAUCAAUGGUUCCACAUGAAAAGGCUGUACCUACAUACUGGUUUCUACAUAAUGGAACUAAUAAUUUUAGUGGAUUCAGUGCAGGUGAAGAAGAUAAUAAAAAUUCAACUUGAGUAGUGAUUUGGAUGCCAUUUCAGCCUAUUUUAUAAAAAUUAAACUCGUAAAACUUAAAAAAAGGAACUGCAUCUACAAAGAAGAGGUCUUAAUCGAAGAGAGGAUUUUAUUAACCAGAGACAUUGCUAGAGACCAGAGAACAGUGACAGUUCCGUUGGGAUGGAAAUUGAAUUUCUCGGACGAAUCCUUUUCUUCUCCUUGGCUGACGAAUGGACUGUUAAGGUAGGCAGUCAUUUCUUUUAUUUCAAUUUUUAUUGUCAAACAGUGCUUUGCAUUUGGUUUGCAUCUGCUUCGUAAAGCUUGCGCAAUCCGAAUCACCUCACGUUGAACAUUUGGCUUUCCAACUUCAACGUACAGUAGAGAAAAAAGUCCGUAGUGCACUCUGCACUGCUGUGCAAUUUUUACUAUUAAGAGAAAGAACGUGAAUUUUGACAGGACGCAUUUCAAGCACUUUGAGGUGUGCAGUUGUGAGCGUCCAAGGAAUUUGUUGUUUAAAUCCUUACGCAGUUUUUUCCCUUAUAACUGUGGCUUUGAGGUUUCUCCUCUGUGUCCCAGUGCAUUUCUGUUCUGUGUCGAGGAAAAACAAUGGCUUUUUAAAUUUUCCAAAUUCCACCCCUAGUUGAAUCAAUUUAGUUUUCACUCGUGAAAGGACGCAGUACCCAUUUAGUUUUCGUUUUUGGAAAAGGUUUUACGUUGUUGUGGGCUUCAAACUUUUUUUGAAUUAUUGAUUCCGGUUUUAGCAGAACGUCUCGCCUAUUUUCAAAAGGGGCCAGUUUAAAUUCUAGCAAAACUGUUGCGCCAGUUAAAUCCGUGCCGUAGUCUAAUGGGUUGCUGAACCAAAACUGUUUCCAUCAUUCUUUUCCGAGAAAGUUGCGACAUGGCGUUGUUGUCUUAUUGUUGGCUGCGGUCUAUCUUUUGGCGAAUGCGCUCUUGAAGAUGUAACAGCUGUUGAUCGUGAUUGCUGUUGAAACAUUUUGCGUCCGCGAUGCACUCGCCACAACUUAAAAAUAAAUUUUGAUGGUACGCAUUUCGAACGCGUUAGGUGUCAAUCACCUGGUGUGGACCCUAGUUCGAUUCCUAGUUACCUACAGGCGAAGAAAGAACGCAGUAACUUUUCAUGUGAUGUUUCAUUUUCGGAAAAUGUUUGGCUUUGCUGGGGGGCAAAACUGCACUUCUCUGUUUGAUUAUCUUGUCUUUUCUGUUGCCAUUUUAUGGCUCAUUCUCGGGCGUUUUUUUUUGUUCCCGCUACGUCUCAAAUAAAUUCCAUACCUGAAAGUUUGACGUGAAAUUUUGGUUGAUGCCGUUCCAUGUGCAAUAAAUUGUAGAAAACUCUUAAUGUCGCCGUCGGCCGUCCUCCAAAAUUUUUAUAUUUCAAGAUUUCCAUCGGUCGUGUUCACGUUCGAAAGACGGAAGACCUUUUUAUUUGAUCGUCGUUUUUAUCUAAUUGCUUAAAGUAAAGGGCUUUUUCUUGAAACUCUCACAACCAAGUUGAUCUCGAGUGUUGUGCAAGAGGACAGCGUUUACUUCUGUCUGUAAAAUUAUCAACUUGGUGUAAUAAUUUAGUCUAAUAAGUUGCAGUUAAUGCAUCUGCCAAUAGUCUAGUUUUCCUUUUGGAUUUAAAAAUGUAUUUGGACGGUCCAAUUGGUCU